RNA transcript from Abrus precatorius (Indian licorice), 1138 nucleotides. It is a transcript of the gene named superoxide dismutase [Cu-Zn], chloroplastic-like, with no coding region annotated. The transcript has 7 exons. The record is from RefSeq and is a predicted model, not a curated record. Lineage: Eukaryota; Viridiplantae; Streptophyta; Magnoliopsida; Fabales; Fabaceae.
CCCUACACAAAAGAGUGGCACACAAUGACAAGUACAGUACAUGGCUUAUCCACUAGACACCAAGGUCAGAGUGUUGCAUUGUUAUCUGUAAGAUCACAAUUGACAAGUGAAUCUCAUCUUGGUGCAUUGGCUAGCUCAAUGGAAGCAGCAUUCGCAGCCAUGGCUGCCCACACUAUUCUCUCAUUCCAAGAACCUCUCUUUUCUUCCUUCCCACCUCCUCAAUCCAUAACCCUUCCUGCCAAUACCCAGAAAGCUGUUGCUGUCCUCAAGGGCAAUUCCACCGCGGAAGGCAUUGUCACACUAACCCAACAAGACAACGGUCCAACAACUGUUAAUGUUCGUGUCUCUGGUCUUACUCCAGGGCCUCAUGGUUUUCACCUGCAUGAGUUCGGUGAUUUAACAAAAGGGUGUAUUUCGACUGGGGCACAUUUCAAUCCUGAUCAGCUGAAACAUGGUGCUCCUAAAGAUAAAAUACGCCAUGCGGGUGACCUGGGAAACAUAGUUGCUAAUGCCGAUGACAGGGGUUGCAGAAGCAACAAUUGUGGACAAUCAGAUACCACUCUUUGGCCCAAAUUCAGUAGUUGGAAGAGCCUUAGUGGUUCAUGAGCUUGAGGAUGACCUUGGAAAGGGUUAGCAAUACCUUUUGAACAUUAAUUUAUAUUUGCCUUACAACUCUAUUGUAGAGGAAAUAAUUGUGACAAGCUUCAGCAGUUUUGUGUUCGCUAAGUAAAACAUUAGAUGAAUGUGUGGUGAAGAAUAUCAUGACAUAAGUAUGAGAUUGACUUUCCCUCUUCAAGUUAUUGUUUUGUAUGUCACCCUUGUAUGUUAAGUUUCAUUUGUGUUCAUUGCUGGAGCAUUUUUACUUGUCUCAUUUGUCUUUGUAGGUGGCCAGGAACUUAGUUUGAGCACUGGAAAUGCUGGUGGAAGAUUGGCAUGUGGCGUGGUUGGUUUGACUCCAGUGUAAAUGCAACUAAUGUUUUUGUAGUGGUUGUGUUUUAUCUGUUGUUUGCUUUCAUAAAUUUAUCCAUGUAAACUCUGAAGCAUGAUGUCCUUGUGAGGAUGAAUGCAAAAUGAAAUUGUGAUGAGAUAUGCGGUACCAGAGAUUCAUCUCAAUAAAAUUAUAAUCACAUGGAAGUUC